GACGAACGCUGGCGGCGUGCCUAAUACAUGCAAGUAGAACGCUGAAGGAGGAGCUUGCUUCUCUGGAUGAGUUGCGAACGGGUGAGUAACGCGUAGGUAACCUGCCUGGUAGCGGGGGAUAACUAUUGGAAACGAUAGCUAAUACCGCAUAAGAUUGACUAUUGCAUGAUAGUCAGUUAAAAGGUGCAAUUGCAUCACUACCAGAUGGACCUGCGUUGUAUUAGCUAGUUGGUGGGGUAACGGCUCACCAAGGCGACGAUACAUAGCCGAACUGAGAGGGUGAUCGGCCACACUGGGACUGAGACACGGCCCAGACUCCUACGGGAGGCAGCAGUAGGGAAUCUUCGGCAAUGGACGGAAGUCUGACCGAGCAACGCCGCGUGAGUGAAGAAGGUUUUCGGAUCGUAAAGCUCUGUUGUAAGAGAAGAACGAGUGUGAGAGUGGAAAGUUCACACUGUGACGGUAUCUUACCAGAAAGGGACGGCUAACUACGUG
RNAcentral lists this ribosomal RNA (495 nucleotides) under uncultured bacterium. Its description in RNAcentral is "partial 16S ribosomal RNA". It matches the Rfam family "Bacterial small subunit ribosomal RNA", at positions 28 to 507 of the family's 1533-position model. The record is from RNAcentral.